AAAAAAAAAAGCCAAAAUUAAAAGGUUUUGUAAAAAUUGAAAAAUGUGAAAAAAUUAGAUGUUUUUUAGUCAAUAGGCCUUAAUGCAAUGAAAUAUAGCAAGUAGCACAAGGAAUACCUUCAGUUUGGCCAGACAAAAAACUAUUGUCCAUAAAAUUGUGAUAGUGGGAGACUCCAAGAUUGAAGGUGAGAAGUAAAGUGGAAGGUUGUGUAUUUACUAAAUCAUAGUAGAAAAGAAAGUGAACCUUUGUGCAAGCCAUUACCUUUGUUUUGUUGCUCAUGCUUGCUAGAAGAAAAUUUUGUACAUGCUAGUCUUGAUAAUCAAGACAAGAGCAGAUCUUUAUUCUGCCUGAAUUUUUUUUUAUGCUUUUCUGGCUUCCUGGUUCUCUAGAACAAUGGAGGAUGCCUUGCUGAUUUACUUUUUGGUAAUUGUCUGCUACAUGUCUUCAAGACCCUUCAUAGAGUUUGCAACCCCAAUUUAUUAAGUGGUGGGGUGGUUAUUACCACCCCUAUUCAUGCAAGGAAGGCCACAUCCUUUUUUCCCUCCCUCUCUUGAACUGGUCAUGGUCUGGUUUUGGGCCGUGGCUUGGAAGGCCCUGAACUUCCACAUUAUGGGGCCAUUCCGAAAACUGUUCUGGCUUGAUGCAAUCCAACAGUUGAAAAUUUUCCUCUUUUUUCAAAGAAAGAAGUGGUUCAAACUGGACUAAUGUGCUGAACUAUUGGUUCUAGUCCAGUUCAAGCUUCAAGAUGAAUUCUGUCUGCUUUGGGCCCAUAGUUAUUA
This 780-nucleotide unclassified non-coding RNA is filed under the name Hevea brasiliensis (rubber tree). The record is from RNAcentral. Lineage: Eukaryota; Viridiplantae; Streptophyta; Magnoliopsida; Malpighiales; Euphorbiaceae.